This 467-nucleotide ribosomal RNA is filed under the name uncultured bacterium. RNAcentral's name for it is "partial 16S ribosomal RNA". It matches the Rfam family "Bacterial small subunit ribosomal RNA", at positions 28 to 507 of the family's 1533-position model. The record is from RNAcentral.
GACGAACGCUGGCGGCGUGCUUAACACAUGCAAGUCGAACGGAAAGGCCCUGCUUUUGUGGGGUGCUCGAGGGGCGAACGGGUGAGUAACACGUGAGUAACCUGCCCUUGACUUUGGGAUAACUUCAGGAAACUGGGGCUAAUACCGGAUAGGAGCUCCUGCCGCAUGGUGGGGGUUGGAAAGUUUCGGCGGUUGGGGAUGGACUCGCGGCUUAUCAGCUUGUUGGUGGGGUAGUGGCUUACCAAGGAUUUGACGGGUAGCCGGCCUGAGAGGGUGACGGCCCACAUGGGCUGUGAGAUACGGCCAGACUCCACCGGGAGGCAGCGGUGGGGAAUAUUGCACAAUGGGGGGAAGCCUGAUGCAGCACCGCCGCGUGCGGGAUGAGGGCCUUCGGGUUGUAAACCGCUUUCGCCUGUGACGAGGCGUGAGUGACGGUAAUGGGUAAAGAAGCACCGGCUAACUACGUG